UUACGAUACCCGGGUAGUCCACGCCGUAAACGAUGAGUGCUAGAUGUUUCUGGUAUUGACCCGGAGGCGUCGUAGCUAACGCGUUAAGCACUCCGCCUGGGGAG
Molecule: ribosomal RNA, 104 nt
Filed under: uncultured bacterium
Lineage: Bacteria
Description: partial 16S ribosomal RNA
Rfam family: Bacterial small subunit ribosomal RNA
Source: RNAcentral